RNAcentral lists this ribosomal RNA (237 nucleotides) under uncultured bacterium. RNAcentral describes it as "partial 16S ribosomal RNA". It matches the Rfam family "Bacterial small subunit ribosomal RNA", at positions 532 to 769 of the family's 1533-position model. The record is from RNAcentral.
UCGCAAGCGUUCUCCGGAUAUAUUGGGAGUAAAGAGCGUCAAGGUGGUUUGGUAAGUCUGAUGUGGAAAUGCUGGGCUCAACUCCGUAUUGCGUUGGAAACUGCCAAACUAGAGUACUGGAGAGGUGGGCGGAACUACAAGUGUAGAGGUGAAAUUCGUAGAUAUUUGUAGGAAUGCCGAUAGAGAAGUCAGCUCACUGGACAGAUACUGACACUGAAGCGCGAAAGCAUGGGGAGC